RNAcentral lists this ribosomal RNA (253 nucleotides) under uncultured bacterium. Its description in RNAcentral is "partial 16S ribosomal RNA". It matches the Rfam family "Bacterial small subunit ribosomal RNA", at positions 524 to 776 of the family's 1533-position model. The record is from RNAcentral.
UACAGAGGUCUCGAGCGUUGUUCGGAUUCAUUGGGCGUAAAGGGCGCGUAGGCGGCGGGGUAAGUCUGGUGUGAAAUCUCGGAGCUCAACUCCGAAAUUGCACUGGAUACUGCUCUGCUAGAGGGCUGGAGAGGAGAUCGGAAUUCACGGUGUAGCAGUGAAAUGCGUAGAUAUCGUGAGGAAGACCAGUGGCGAAGGCGGAUCUCUGGACAGCUCCUGACGCUGAGGCGCGAAGGCUACGGGAGCAAACAGG